Molecule: long non-coding RNA, 742 nt
Organism: Haliotis rubra (blacklip abalone)
Lineage: Eukaryota; Metazoa; Mollusca; Gastropoda; Lepetellida; Haliotidae
Exons: 4
Source: RefSeq, a predicted model, not a curated record
GUACAUCACUGGUUAGAGAGAUCAGAAGAGUCUGGAUGGGGUAGGUAACAUCACUGGCUAGGAAGAUGAGGAGAUUCUGGAUGGGGUAGGUAACAUCACUGGCUAGGGAGAUAAGGAGAUUCUGGAUGGGGAAGGUAACAUCACUGGCUAGGAAGAUGAGGAGAUUCUGGAUGGGGUAGGUAACAUCACUGGUUAGGGAGAUGAGGAGAUGGUUGAUGGGGUAGGUAACAUCACUGGCUAGGGAGAUAAGGAGAUUCUGGAUGGGGAAGGUACAUCACUGGCUAGGGAGAUGAGGAGAUUGUUGAUGGGGUAGGUAACAUCACUGGCUAGGGAGAUAAGGAGAUUCUGGAUGGGGAAGGUACAUCACUGGCUAGGGAGAUGAGGAGAUUGUUGAUGGGGUAGGUAACAUCACUGGUUAGGGAGAUAAGGAGAUUCUGGAUGGGGUAAGUAACAUCACUGGCUAGGGAGAUAAGGAGAUUCUGGAUGGGGUAGGUAACAUCACUGGCUAGGGAGAUAAGGAGAUUCUGGAUGGGGUAGGUAACAUCACUGGCUAGGAAGAUGAGGAGAUUCUGUACGGGGUAGGUAACAACACUGGCUAGGGAGAUAAGGAAAGUCUGGAUGGGGUAGGUAACAACACUUUUGUGCUUUUAAGAAUAAUUCACUGAAUUAUGAUAUAUUCUUCUUUAUGAUUUCUCAAUAAUACAGGUUAUCUGUUAACUCUAAAUAAUCUUUGUCUGUCAUA